Helianthus annuus (common sunflower) is the source of this 598-nucleotide long non-coding RNA. RefSeq lists it as uncharacterized. The transcript is spliced from 3 exons. NCBI's taxonomy places the organism in Eukaryota, Viridiplantae, Streptophyta, Magnoliopsida, Asterales, Asteraceae. The record is from RefSeq and is a predicted model, not a curated record.
UGAAUAUCCAUAUCUUUCAGCAACCAUGUAUUCACCGUACAAUAUUUGAUCUGUUCUAACUCCUCCAAACAAAACGACCGAAGAAUAUGGACGUUACCGUCGAUCUCUUAAAUCCCUUCAACCAGCCAUUUUAAACUCCAGUUAAAAACCUAUCAGCUGUGCCCUUUUCCCCAUUCCGCCUACCUCCAUUGCGUCGCACAACCACCGCAACGCCUUCGUUCGCCCCUAUGGAAUUGGCCGAAAUCGUCAGCGCACUUGAACCAGACUCAAUCUUAACCACCGCUGCCAUUGAAUGAACGGCCAACCGGGUGUGUUUCCUUUAUUUCUUUUUGCCUGUGUGAACCAGCCACACGAUAUUCCCAUCGGUUCUCAAUCAGUUCUACGUCAGCCACUAAGGUCCACGUAUUUGUUAAAGACGAUUCACUUUGCUUUCCUUGCUAAUAAGGUAAUAUGGGAUGAUCUGGGAUUUCAGUGAGGAGCGUUAGGAAGUUGCUGGCGGCGACUAUUUAUUUCAGUAAUGUAAUAAACGUGAUUAGGAUCUUUAUUUAAUUUUAUGGAAUAAGGGGUGAACGCCACACUCACCAUCUCAUAGGUGCAU